Molecule: ribosomal RNA, 433 nt
Filed under: uncultured bacterium
Lineage: Bacteria
Description: partial 16S ribosomal RNA
Rfam family: Bacterial small subunit ribosomal RNA
Source: RNAcentral
AACGAACGCUGGCGGCAGGCCUAACACAUGCAAGUCGAGCGAGGACUUCGGUUCUAGCGGCGGACGGGUGAGUAACGCGUGGGAAUGUGCCCUUCUCUACGGAAUAGCCCUGGGAAACUGGGAGUAAUACCGUAUACGCCCUAUUGGGGAAAGAUUUAUCGGAGAAGGAUCAGCCCGCGUUGGAUUUGGUAGUUGGUGGGGUAAUGGCCUACCAAGCCGACGAUCCAUAGCUGGUUUGAGAGGAUGAUCAGCCACACUGGGACUGAGACACGGCCCAGACUCCUACGGGAGGCAGCAGUGGGGAAUCUUAGACAAUGGGGGCAACCCUGAUCUAGCCAUGCCGCGUGAGUGAUGAAGGCCUUAGGGUUGUAAAGCUCUUUCAGCUGGGAAGAUAAUGACGGUACCAGCAGAAGAAGCCCCGGCUAACUCCGUG